Small nucleolar RNA from Penaeus chinensis, 207 nucleotides. RefSeq annotates it as small nucleolar RNA U3. The record is from RefSeq and is a predicted model, not a curated record. Lineage: Eukaryota; Metazoa; Arthropoda; Malacostraca; Decapoda; Penaeidae. The transcript has a single exon.
AUGAUCAUACUUUAUAGGAUCAAAUUCUAUAGUCGAUUUCCCGGGGGUUUUUUCGCCGAGAUUCUCGGAAAAUUUCAAACAUGAGGACUGUUUGUGGGAAUUUCCCUGAGCGGGGAAACGGCUUCCCAAAUGUUUUACUUUAGGAUUUUUAUGACCGUUCUGAAAUCGGUUUUUCCGAUGUUCAAAGGGGAGACCAGGCUGAGUGGU